This 1457-nucleotide ribosomal RNA is filed under the name metagenome. Its description in RNAcentral is "bacterial SSU rRNA". It matches the Rfam family "Archaeal small subunit ribosomal RNA". The record is from RNAcentral.
UCCAGUUGAUCCUGCUGGAGGGUACUGCUAUUGGGGUUUGAUUAAGCCAUGCACGUUAGGGCUCACGGCAAGUGAGCCCAGCAGACAGCUCAGUAACACGUGGACAAUCUGCUCUUAGGUGGAGGAUAACCUCGGGAAACUGAGGAUAAUAAUCUAUAGGUGAGAAGCUCUGGAAUGAGUCUUGCUUAAAGGCGCCAGCCUGUUCCGGCUGGUUGUGCCUAAGAAGGAGUCUGCGGCGGAUUAGGUUGAUGUUAGGGUAAUGGCCUAACAUGCCCACGAUCUGUAUCGGCUAUGAGAGUAGGAGCCGGGAGAUGGAUACUGAGACAAGGAUCCAGGCCCUACGGGGCGCAGCAGGCGCGAAAUCUUCGCAAUGUGCUAACGCACGACGAGGGAACCCCAAGUGCUCUUGUACAACAAGAGUUUUUGCGGAGUAUAAAAAGCUCCGAGAAUAAGGGCUGGGUAAGGCUGGUGCCGGCCUCCGCGGUAAAACCAGCAGCUCUAGUGGUACUCGCGUUUAUUGGGCUUAAAGCGUACGUAGUCGGUUCGGCAAGUUCCCUGUGAAAUCCUGUGACUCAAUUACAGGGCCUGCGGGGAAUACUACCGGGCUAGGAACCGGGAUAGGUCAGGGGUAUUCCUUGGGUAGCGGUGAAAUGCUAUAAUCCAAGGAAGACCACCAAUAGCGAAGGCACCUGUCUGGAACGGGUUCGACGAUGAGGGACGAAAGCUAGGGGAGCAAACGGGAUUAGAUACCCCGGUAGUCCUAGCCGUAAACGAUGCAGACUAAGUGUUUCCCGAACUUUGCGUUCGGGAAGCGUUGAAGGGAAACCGUUAAGUCUGCCGUCUGGGGAGUACGGUCGCAAGGCUGAAACUUAAAGGAAUUGGCGGGGGAGCACCACAAGGGGUGGAGUCUGCGGUUUAAUUGGAUACAACGCCGGGAAACUUACCAGGGGCGACGGCAGGAUGACGGCCAGGCUGAAGGUCUUGCCAGACGAGCCGAGAGGUAGUGCAUGGCCGCCGUCAGCUCGUACCGUAAGGCGUGCGGUUAAGUCCGUUAACGAGCGAGAUCCGUGCCUUUAUUUGCCAGCCUCCUCGAUGGAGGGGGUGCACUAUAAAGGGACCGCUGGUGAUGAACCAGAGGAAGGUGCGGUCGACGAUAGGUCUGUAUGCUCCGAAUCUCCUGGGCUACACGUGGACUACAAUGGCGCAGACAAUGGGUUGCCACUCCGAAAGGAGACAGCUAAUCCCCUAAAUUGCGUCUUAGUUCGGAUUGAGGGUUGUAACCUACCCUCAUGAAGAUGAAAUCCCUAGUAAUCGCUAGUUAUCAUCUAGCGGUGAAUAUGUCCCCGCUCCUUGCACACACCGCCCGUCAAACCAACCGAGUGGAUCUCUAACGAGGCAUCCCCAUUCGAGGGUGUCGAGUUAAAGGUUCGCAAGGGGGGUUAAGUCGUAACAAGGUA